Long non-coding RNA from Gavialis gangeticus (Gharial), 370 nucleotides. RefSeq lists it as uncharacterized. The record is from RefSeq and is a predicted model, not a curated record. NCBI's taxonomy places the organism in Eukaryota, Metazoa, Chordata, Crocodylia, Gavialidae. The transcript has 3 exons.
AACUUGUAUCUACUGUUGUUUAAGGUAGCACCUGAAAUGGCAGUAAUUGAAAGAUGAAAGAAAAACAUAGCGUCUUUACCUUGGCCACUUGGCAUACAAUUGAUUUAUCUGUUUUGUUAAUGGCCAUUUGCAUCAUUUUGGUGCCCGGCUUGCAAGAGAAACUUAUCUGCACACUCUCGUCCAAGCUCCGACUGAAGACUACCGACCAGUAAUAUGAACAGAAAAAACAGACAGAUAAUGAAAUACUAAUGGGAGCAGGAACUUGAACCAAUAUCUCAUACAUGCCAAGCUUAAGGCCGACCUCAGGUACGUUUCAUCUAAAUCUACUCUGAUGCAGCCCAGCAGCUCAUAGAUGCAGUCGAGUCUUUCU